Molecule: long non-coding RNA, 1546 nt
Organism: Vigna radiata var. radiata (mung bean)
Lineage: Eukaryota; Viridiplantae; Streptophyta; Magnoliopsida; Fabales; Fabaceae
Exons: 3
Source: RefSeq, a predicted model, not a curated record
AAUAUUCGUUAGGAAGUAGUCUCUAAAAAAAAUAUUUGUAUUUUUAGCACAUAUAUUACACCGUUAAAAAAAAAUUCUAUCAAUUAUUUGAACCGGUGCAAAUUUUAUAUUAUUUAACUAUUUUUAAUUUAAUUGGGUGUGAACGAGGUUAUUGCACUGUGGCUCUGGGUUCUGUAGUCUUUUUCAAAAACUCUGAAAUUGGUUUGGAGUUUGGGAAUUUCAGUGCGGGUAUCUGAUUUCUUAUCACUCCAUGGAGGCUCAUCCUCAAAUUGGUUUCUGAUUUCUCAUCAAACAAAUUUCAAAUUCGCUACACAUUUCAUACUGCACAGAGAUUUCGUGGUACAAUUCUGAUCUAUCUUCCGAUCUUCCUUCUUGAAGCUGUGUGAUCUUUCUUCUUGAUAAACAACUAUAGAAGUGCUUUUUAAUCAUAGUUUGAUUUCAAGAUAUAUUUUUGAUCCAGGUGGACAACAAAAACCAAAGUUGUGCUUCUUUAUUUCUUCCCUAUUUGAGGACAAAUCGUUUUUAAAGAGGGAGGGAAUGAUGGCAACCCCUUUAGAGACUUCCCAUCUAAAGAAGUAUCAACGACAACUAAGACUAAAGAAAGGAAAGUAGAAUAUAGAUUUCCAAAACUAUUUCCUUAUCUAAGUCUUAGCAUGAUUCUCUUUACUUAAAUACAUUUUACUUUGUUUGUAGGUCAUUAUAAAAAGCAAGGAAGUAACCAAGCAAGGAGGAAGCAAAGGAGACAAAAGUGAAUACUUGGACACGCUGGCGCUCAAUGGCAAGCACACUACCGCCCAGCGAUGCCUAGGAGAUGCUCCAUUCCUUUGAACACGUGUUUCAUGCUUAUCAUGUGGAACACAUGGCCAGCUGAUAGCUUCUUCUUCAAGCUUUUUUCAAUAUUUCAGCACAUGUACAUUGGCUAGCUUACCUUGCAAGAUUGAUGAGCUUUCCUUCUCUUAUAAAAGGAAGCUUACUCAUUGUACAAAUUAACUUGAAUGAAAUUAGUAUUAUGCUAUCAAAAUUCAGCCACUUCUCUCCCGUUCAAACUCUUUGCUAGCUUUAGCUUUGCAUCCUCUAGCUUCUUUCCCCUUAGGAAAGUUGUCGGAACUAGAUUUCAUCACCACAAUCCAUCAAAAACACGUUCACACCUUUUAUCAAACACCUACCAUACAUAUCCUCCAACCUUCAAGAACUUCAGUCUGCUGCAACUUCUGAUCGGGAUUGUUGUUUGUGCUCAAGUACGAAAGUGUUUCUAUCAACCACGGACUGCUUUCAGCACCUCCCCGUUCUUGUUUUGUCCUCUAGUAAAAUUUAAUUUUAAGGUUAAUAUUGUUCAACUUUAUCCUGAACGAAUCUGAGUAUCCGUGAGCAAAUGUCAACAUCCGAAGGUAGAAUGAAUGUCGACAUUUGUAACAGUGCGUUUCGAGUGGUUUCGUCGUAAGGACGACAGCGUUUCGGUGGACGAUGAGGACUCUAGCGUCUGCAGUUUCGCGCCAAUGGCGGUGGACGCAGCGGCGCUGGAAGCAGUUUUAGCGUUUUCAACUCC